UUUAGAAUGAAUACAACUCUGCAUACACCCAGUCUCAUCUGAUUUCAGAAGCUAAAAAGGCCAGGCCUAGUUAGCACUCAGAUGAGAAACCAUCAGGCAAUAUUACGUUUCUUCAAGUA
Molecule: ribosomal RNA, 119 nt
Filed under: Pogona vitticeps (central bearded dragon)
Lineage: Eukaryota; Metazoa; Chordata; Lepidosauria; Squamata; Agamidae
Source: RNAcentral